This 492-nucleotide ribosomal RNA is filed under the name uncultured bacterium. RNAcentral describes it as "partial 16S ribosomal RNA". It matches the Rfam family "Bacterial small subunit ribosomal RNA", at positions 29 to 507 of the family's 1533-position model. The record is from RNAcentral.
AGUGAACGCUGGCGGUAGGCCUAACACAUGCAAGUCGAACGGCAGCACAGUAAGAGCUUGCUCUUACGGGUGGCGAGUGGCGGACGGGUGAGGAAUACAUCGGAAUCUACUUUUUCGUGGGGGAUAACGUAGGGAAACUUACGCUAAUACCGCAUACGACCUACGGGUGAAAGCAGGGGAUCUUCGGACCUUGCGCGAUUGAAUGAGCCGAUGUCGGAUUAGCUAGUUGGCGGGGUAAAGGCCCACCAAGGCGACGAUCCGUAGCUGGUCUGAGAGGAUGAUCAGCCACACUGGAACUGAGACACGGUCCAGACUCCUACGGGAGGCAGCAGUGGGGAAUAUUGGACAAUGGGGGCAAGCCUGAUCCAGCCAUACCGCGUGGGUGAAGAAGGCGUUCGGGUUGUAAAGCCCUUUUGUUGGGAAAGAAAAGCAGCAGGUUAAUACCCCGCUGUUCUGACGGUACCCAAAGAAUAAGCACCGGCUAACUUCGUG